This 697-nucleotide ribosomal RNA is filed under the name uncultured bacterium. Its description in RNAcentral is "bacterial SSU rRNA". It matches the Rfam family "Bacterial small subunit ribosomal RNA", at positions 134 to 851 of the family's 1533-position model. The record is from RNAcentral.
UACACACGGAUAACAUACCGAAAGGUAUGCUAAUACGGGAUAAUAUAUUUGAGAGGCAUCUCUUAAAUAUCAAAGGUGAGCCAGUACAGGAUGGACCCGCGUCUGAUUAGCUAGUUGGUAAGGUAACGGCUUACCAAGGCAACGAUCAGUAGCCGACCUGAGAGGGUGAUCGGCCACAUUGGAACUGAGACACGGUCCAAACUCCUACGGGAGGCAGCGGUGGGGAAUAUUGCACAAUGGGCGAAAGCCUGAUGCAGCAACGCCGCGUGAGUGAUGAAGGCCUUCGGGUCGUAAAACUCUGUCCUCAAGGAAGAUAAUGACGGUACUUGAGGAGGAAGCCCCGGCUAACUACGUGCCAGCAGCCGCGGUAAUACGUAGGGGGCUAGCGUUAUCCGGAUUUACUGGGCGUAAAGGGUGCGUAGGCGGUCUUUCAAGUCAGGAGUGAAAGGCUACGGCUCAACCGUAGUAAGCUCUUGAAACUGGGAGACUUGAGUGCAGGAGAGGAGAGUGGAAUUCCUAGUGUAGCGGUGAAAUGCGUAGAUAUUAGGAGGAACACCAGUUGCGAAGGCGGCUCUCUGGACUGUAACUGACGCUGAGGCACGAAAGCGUGGGGAGCAAACAGGAUUAGAUACCCUGGUAGUCCACGCUGUAAACGAUGAGUACUAGGUGUCGGGGGUUACCCCCUUCGGUGCCGCAG